Molecule: long non-coding RNA, 825 nt
Filed under: Sparus aurata (gilthead seabream)
Lineage: Eukaryota; Metazoa; Chordata; Actinopteri; Spariformes; Sparidae
Description: lncRNA (ENSSAUG00010022419.1)
Source: RNAcentral
AUCUUCAAAGCAGUUAGGAUUCUCAGCCUGGUGAUGUUUUUUAUUCUUAAUGCCGUUUCUACAGGUAAAAUGUCAGGUGCAAAACAUCAAAGUUUUGUUGAAGAUUAUUACAGGUCAACAUGAAAUUAUAUUAAGUUACGUAAUCUAAAAAUCGAAAGGGGGUUUAAAACUACUGUCCAAUAGCUCACUCUCUCUCCGCUCUGUUAAAUCUGCACCACAUCUAAAAGACACAUCCUUUGUGUUCAUGUGUUUUUUUCCUCUUUGAUGUGAAGCUGAGAGGAGGGAGGAGGAUGGAGAAGUAGGAGGAAGAGAGCAGCGAGACGGGGAAGGACAAGGGUGGAGGAUGUAGGUGUAAAAGCAGCUGCGGAGAGGAGGCAGAACUGACACACAAAGGUGGACGAAGCUUCAUUUCCAGGGAUAAGUUUUCCCACGAGUCCUCUGCCUCCUCCAUAUACAUCCAAAGAACGACCAAACCCUGCAGCGCCCGACCACAGAAGCAGGGAUUUCUCGGGCUGUUAUCUUGAAAACACACAGGAACCACUGGGGCUCACAAAGAGAUUAGAGACGGUUCCCCCACUCAGCGUCUCAACACCCACUCCGUUCCUCCUGAUCAUCUCGCUGAACUCCUCCCUCCAUCCACCCAUCCUACCAACUUCUCUCCCUUUCAAUCAACCCUCACCCAUCCUUCCUAUACCCCCUCAUCCCUCGACCCUCGACCCCUUCCCCCAUCCCUCGACCCCUACCCCAUCAUGCCUUCAUCCUUCCGCCCCCUCCAUCCCUCGACCCUUUCCCUCCCAGUAUUCCGCAUAUGUUCAUAACGUGUAA